Gasterosteus aculeatus aculeatus (three-spined stickleback) is the source of this 417-nucleotide non-coding RNA. The record is from RefSeq and is a predicted model, not a curated record. Lineage: Eukaryota; Metazoa; Chordata; Actinopteri; Perciformes; Gasterosteidae.
CCAGAACGAGAUGGGACGUAGUAACUCCACCUUACGUCUGAUUACUUCUUCAGAAAAAGGAGGCUCCACAUGGUCAACAACAACAACUGUUUUUGCAUCCAUAUCUGCUGUUUUCCUGCUGAUCAUCAUCCUCGCUGUCCUCUACAUCAGAUCCCACUGACCAACGCUGGACACCAGGAGGAAGAGGAGAAAAUGGAGAUGGUGCCGUCCACAUGUAUCCACUUUGAUGAAGGCAGCGAGUGACAAUCUUUACUGAAUAUGGAUCCGUCUCUGCUUUUAUCAUCACUGUUUUAUUGCUGUUUAAACGUGUUAAUGAUUCAUUUAGUGAGUUUACGGUUCUUUCACUGACGGAGAUGUGAAGGAGCUGUGGAUGAUUCUUCAGCUCUUGAUUUUUCGAUUUCUUUCGAUUCUCGAUUC